Molecule: microRNA precursor, 96 nt
Filed under: Canis lupus familiaris (dog)
Lineage: Eukaryota; Metazoa; Chordata; Mammalia; Carnivora; Canidae
Description: miRNA (ENSCAFG00000054883.1)
Source: RNAcentral
UCUGGUCCCUGCCUGGACCUCACCUGGACCCGGUGACUGUGGUCCCCCACUGGGCUUCACCCGGACCUGGUGACUGUGGUCCCCACCUGGGCCUCA